GAGUGGCGAACUGGUGAGUAACACGUGGGUAACCCGCCCUUGAAGUAGGGGAUAACACUUGGAAACAGGUGCUAAUACCGUAUAACAACCAAAACCACCUGGUUUUGGUUUAAAAGACGGCUUCGGCUGUCACUUUAGGAUGGACCCGCGGCGUAUUAGCUUGUUGGUAAGGUAACGGCCUACCAAGGCGAUGAUACGUAGCCGACCUGAGAGGGUAAUCGGCCACAUUGGGACUGAGACACUGCCCAAACUCCUACGGGAGGCAGCAGUAGGGAAUCUUCCACAAUGGACGAAAGUCUGAUGGAGCAACGCCGCGUGAGUGAUGAAGGGUUUCGGCUCGUAAAACUCUGUUGUUGGAGAAGAACAGGUGUCAGAGUAACUGUUGACAUCUUGACGGUAUCCAACCAGAAAGCCACGGCUAACUACGUGCCAGCAGCCGCGGUAAUACGUAGGUGGCAAGCGUUGUCCGGAUUUAUUGGGCGUAAAGCGAGCGCAGGCGGUUUUUUAGGUCUGAUGUGAAAGCCUUCGGCUUAACCGGAGAAGUGCAUCGGAAACCGGGAGACUUGAGUGCAGGAUAGGACAGUGGAACUC
RNAcentral lists this ribosomal RNA (591 nucleotides) under uncultured bacterium. RNAcentral's name for it is "bacterial SSU rRNA". It matches the Rfam family "Bacterial small subunit ribosomal RNA", at positions 93 to 669 of the family's 1533-position model. The record is from RNAcentral.